This 253-nucleotide ribosomal RNA is filed under the name uncultured bacterium. Its description in RNAcentral is "partial 16S ribosomal RNA". It matches the Rfam family "Bacterial small subunit ribosomal RNA", at positions 524 to 776 of the family's 1533-position model. The record is from RNAcentral.
GACAGAGGGUGCAAGCGUUAUCCGGAAUGAUUGGGCGUAAAGCGUCUGUAGGUGGCUUUUUAAGUUCGCCGUCAAAUCCCAGGGCUCAACCCUGGACAGGUGGUGGAAACUACCAAGCUAGAGUACGGUAGGGGCAGAGGGAAUUUCCGGUGGAGCGAUGAAAUGCGUAGAGAUCGGAAGGAACACCCAAGGCGAAAGCACUCUGCUGGGCCGACACUGACACUGAGAGACGAAAGCUAGGGGAGCAAAUGGG